Molecule: ribosomal RNA, 434 nt
Filed under: uncultured bacterium
Lineage: Bacteria
Description: partial 16S ribosomal RNA
Rfam family: Bacterial small subunit ribosomal RNA
Source: RNAcentral
AGCGAACGCUGGCGGCAGGCCUAACACAUGCAAGUCGAACGAACCUUUCGGGGUUAGUGGCGGACGGGUGAGUAACACGUGGGAACGUGCCUUUAGGUUCGGAAUAACUCAGGGAAACUUGUGCUAAUACCGAAUGUGCUCUUCGGGGGAAAGAUUUAUCGCCUUUAGAGCGGCCCGCGUCUGAUUAGCUAGUUGGUUGAGGUAAUGGCUCACCAAGGCGACGAUCAGUAGCUGGUCUGAGAGGAUGAUCAGCCACAUUGGGACUGAGACACGGCCCAAACUCCUACGGGAGGCAGCAGUGGGGAAUCUUGCGCAAUGGGCGAAAGCCUGACGCAGCCAUGCCGCGUGAAUGAUGAAGGUCUUAGGAUUGUAAAAUUCUUUCACCGGGGACGAUAAUGACGUUACCCGGAGAAGAAGCCCCGGCUAACUUCGUG